This 469-nucleotide ribosomal RNA is filed under the name Hepatozoon canis. RNAcentral's name for it is "bacterial SSU rRNA". It matches the Rfam family "Eukaryotic small subunit ribosomal RNA", at positions 357 to 819 of the family's 1831-position model. Lineage: Eukaryota; Apicomplexa; Hepatozoidae. The record is from RNAcentral.
GGUUAACGGGGGAUUAGGGUUCGAUUCCGGAGAGGGAGCCUGAGAAACGGCUACCACAUCUAAGGAAGGCAGCAGGCGCGCAAAUUACCCAAUUCUAACAGUUUGAGAGAGGUAGUAACAAGAAAUAACAAUACAAGGCAAUUAAAAUGCUUUGUAAUUGGAAUGAUAGAAAUUUAAACCCUUUUUAAAGUAUCAAUUGGAGGGCAAGUCUGGUGCCAGCAGCCGCGGUAAUUCCAGCUCCAAUAGCGUAUAUUAAAAUUGUUGCAGUUAAAAAGCUCGUAGUUGAAGUUCUGCUAAAAGUAACCGGUCUGCUUUUAAUAAAAGUGGUAUCUUGGUGUGUAUUUAGCAAUGAUGUCCUUUGAAGUGUUUUUUACUUUAUUGUAAUAAAGCAUAUUCAGGACUUUUACUUUGAGAAAAUUAGAGUGUUUCUAGCAGGCCGACGCUUUGAAUACUGCAGCAUGGAAUAAUA